CGUACGCGUCUACGAGGAAGUUUCGUAGUACCUGGACGUCAGGAGUAAACGACUGGCGGCGCACAUAAGACAUGCAAGUCGAACGAACUUAACUCAUUCUUUUGUAUUGAGAGCGGUUAGUGGCGGACUGGUGAGUAACGACGUAAGGAACCUAGCCUUUUUAGAGGGGGAAUAACAAUGAGAAAUCAUUGCUAAUACCGCAUAUGCCAUAAUUAUCACAUGAUAAUAGUGGGAAAGGAGCAAUUCGCUAAAAGAUGGCCUUGCGUCUGAUUAGAUAGUUGGUAAGGUAACGGCUUACCAAGUCGACGAUCAGUAGCCGGACUGAGAGGUUGAACGGCCACAUUGGGACUGAGAUACGGCCCAGACUCCUACGGGAGGCAGCAGUCGGGAAUAUUGCGCAAUGGAGGAAACUCUGACGCAGUGACGCCGCGUAUAGGAAGAAGGUUUGCGGAUUGUAAACUAUUGUCGUUAGGGAAGAGAAAGGACAGUACCUAAGGAGGAAGCUCCGGCUAACUACGUG
This 520-nucleotide ribosomal RNA is filed under the name uncultured Eubacteriales bacterium. Its description in RNAcentral is "bacterial SSU rRNA". It matches the Rfam family "Bacterial small subunit ribosomal RNA", at positions 1 to 507 of the family's 1533-position model. The record is from RNAcentral. Lineage: Bacteria; Bacillati; Bacillota; Clostridia; Eubacteriales.